CUACUGAGGAGUCCCACAAUAGGACGAAACGGCCGUCCAG
Molecule: non-coding RNA, 40 nt
Organism: Schistosoma mattheei
Lineage: Eukaryota; Metazoa; Platyhelminthes; Trematoda; Strigeidida; Schistosomatidae
Source: Rfam